This 329-nucleotide ribosomal RNA is filed under the name uncultured eukaryote. RNAcentral describes it as "partial 18S ribosomal RNA". It matches the Rfam family "Eukaryotic small subunit ribosomal RNA", at positions 1470 to 1796 of the family's 1831-position model. The record is from RNAcentral.
CCCUUAGAUGUCCUGGGCCGCACGCGCGCUACACUGAGUGUCUGAGAUACGAGUCUGCCUGGUCCGGCAAGGUCUAGGUAAUCGCUAAAAGACACAUCAUGCUUGGGAUAGAUUAUUGCAAAUAUUAAUCUUGAACGAGGAAUUCCUAGUAAGCGCAAGUCAACAGCUUGCGUUGAUUACGUCCCUGCCCUUUGUACACACCGCCCGACGCUACUACUGAUUGGAUGUUUAAGCGAGGUUCUCGAACUGCUAGCGACUUAGCUUCGGUGAGGUCGCAGUGUGGGAAGUGAACCUAGCUUUGGUGUCUAGAGGAAGUAAAAGUCGUAACA